Molecule: ribosomal RNA, 769 nt
Filed under: uncultured Planctomycetota bacterium
Lineage: Bacteria; Pseudomonadati; Planctomycetota
Description: bacterial SSU rRNA
Rfam family: Bacterial small subunit ribosomal RNA
Source: RNAcentral
UAACGUUGGCGGCGUGGAUUAGGCAUGCAAGUCGAGCGAGAAGCUUGUUUUCGGAUGAGUGGACAGCGGCGAAAGGGAGAGUAACGCGUAGAAAUGUACCCUGGGGCUCGGAAUAGCGGAGAGAAAUUUCCGGUAAUGCCGAAUAAUGUCUUCGGACCAAAGGUUUACCACCUUGGGAGCAGUCUGCGUUCUAUUAGCUUGUUGGUGGGGUAAUGGCUUACCGAGGCAAAGAUGGAUACCGGGCGUGAGAGCGUGACCCGGCUCACUGGGACUGAGACACUGCCCAGACACCUACGGGUGGCUGCAGUCGAGAAUCUUCCGCAAUGGACGAAAGUCUGACGGAGCGACGCCGCGUGCUGGAUGAAGGCCUUCGGGUUGUAAACAGCUGUCAUAGGGGAGGAAAUUUUGACCGAUCCUAAGAGGAAGCACAGGCUAAGUUCGUGCCAGCAGCCGCGGUAACACGAACUGUGCGAACGUUAUUCGGAAUCACUGGGCUUAAAGGGUGCGUAGGCGGUCUUGUAGGUCAGAUGUGAAAUCCCACGGCUCAACCGUGGAAUUGCGUUUGAAACCACAGGACUUGAGUAAGAUAGAGGUAAGCGGAACUGAUGGUGGAGCGGUGAAAUGCGUUGAUAUCAUCAGGAACACCGGUGGCGAAAGCGGCUUACUGGGUCUUUACUGACGCUGAGGCACGAAAGCUAGGGGAGCGAACGGGAUUAGAUACCCCGGUAGUCCUAGCUGUAAACGAUGAGCACUAGCUCGUGCCCCCUCC